GGCGAAGCGACUGACUGACUAUACUGACACUGAGUGCGAAGCGUGGGGAGCAAACAGGAUUAGAUACCUGGUAGUCACGCCGUAAACGAUGUCAACUAGCCGUUGGAACCCUUGAGGUUUUAGUGGCGCAGCUAACGCAUUAAGUUGACCGCUGGGGAGUACGGUCGCAAGAUUAAAACUCAAAUGAAUUGACGGGGGCCCGCACAAGCGGUGGAGCAUGUGGUUUAAUUCGACGCAACGCGAAGAACCUUACCUGGCCUUGACAUGUCCGGAAUCCUGCAGAGAUGCGGGAGUGCCUUCGGGAAUCGGAACACAGGUGCUGCAUGGCUGUCGUCAGCUCGUGUCGCGAGAUGUUGGGUUAAGUCCCGUAACGAGCGCAACCCUUAUCCUUAGUUACCAGCACGUAAUGGUGGGCACUUUAAGGAGACUGCCGGUGACAAACCGGAGGAAGGUGGGGAUGACGUCAAGUCAUCAUGGCCCUUACGGCCAGGGCUACACACGUGCUACAAUGGUUGGUACAGAGGGUCGCCAAACUGCAAAGUGGAGCUAAUCUCUUAAAACCAAUCGUAGUCCGGAUUGAAGUCUGCAACUCGACUUCAUGAAGUCGGAAUCGCUAGUAAUCGCGAAUCAGAACGUCGCGGUGAAUACGUUCCCGGGCCUUGUACACACCGCCCGUCACACCAUGGGAGUGGGUUGCUCCAGAAGUAGCUAGGCUAACCUUAGGGGGGCCGGUUACCACGGAGUGAUUCAUGACUGGGGUGAAGUCGUAACAAGGUAACCA
This 781-nucleotide ribosomal RNA is filed under the name uncultured Gammaproteobacteria bacterium. RNAcentral's name for it is "bacterial SSU rRNA". It matches the Rfam family "Bacterial small subunit ribosomal RNA", at positions 714 to 1502 of the family's 1533-position model. Lineage: Bacteria; Pseudomonadati; Pseudomonadota; Gammaproteobacteria. The record is from RNAcentral.